UCUUCGGAAACCUCACUCGGACCGCUCAGUAACACGUGGAUAACCUACCCUUGGGACUGGAAUAACCCCGGGAAACUGGGGAUAAUACCGGAUAGAUCAGGGAUGCUGGAAUGCACCUUGAUCCAAAGCUCCGGCGCCCAAGGAUGGGUCUGCGGCCUAUCAGGUAGUAGUGGGUGUAACGUACCUACUAGCCAACGACGGGUACGGGUUGUGAGAGCAAGAGCCCGGAGAUGGAUUCUGAGACACGAAUCCAGGCCCUACGGGGUGCAGCAGGCGCGAAACCUUUACAAUGUGCGAAAGCAUGAUAAGGGAACUCCGAGUGCCAGUAUCUAAUACUGGCUGUCCUUGUGCCUAAAACGCACAAGAUAGCAAGGGCCGGGUAAGACCGGUGCCAGCCGCCGCGGUAACACCGGCGGCCCGAGUGGUAGCCGCUAUUAUUGGGUCUAAAGGGUCCGUAGCCGGUUCGAUAAGUCCUCUGGGAAAUCUGGUUGCUUAACAAUCAGACUGCCAAGGGAUACUGUCGAACUUGAGACCGGGAGAGGUAAGAGGUACUUCAGGGGUAGGAGUGAAAUCUUGUAAUCCCUGGGGGACCAUCUGUGGCGAAGGCGUCUUACCAAAACGGGUCUGACGGUGAAGGACGAAAGCUGGGGGCGCAAACCGGAUUAAAUACCCGGGUAGUCCCAGCCGUAAACGAUGCUCGCUAUGUGUCAGGUACGGUGUGACCGUAUCUGGUGCCGUAGGGAAGCCGUGAAGCGAGCCACCUGGGAAGUACGGCCGCAAGGCUGAAACUUAAAGGAAUUGGCGGGGGAGCACUACAACGGGUGGAGCCUGCGGUUUAAUUGGAUUCAACGCCGGAAAUCUUACCGGGGGAGACAGCAGCAUGAAGGUCAGGCUGAAGACCUUACCAGAUCCGCUGAGAGGAAGUGCAUGGCCGUCGUCAGUUCGUACUGUGAAGCAUCCUGUUAAGUCAGGCAACGAGCGAGACCCGUGCCCACAGUUGCCAGCAUACCCUUCGGGGUGAUGGGUACUUUGUGGGGACCGCCGCUGCUAAAGCGGAGGAAGGAGCGGGUUACGGUAGGUCAGUAUGCUCCGAAACUCCCGGGCUACACGCGGGCUACAAUGGUUGGGACAAUGGGAAUCA
This 1141-nucleotide ribosomal RNA is filed under the name uncultured archaeon. RNAcentral describes it as "bacterial SSU rRNA". It matches the Rfam family "Archaeal small subunit ribosomal RNA", at positions 67 to 1207 of the family's 1478-position model. The record is from RNAcentral.